CAGUAGCCGCGGUAAUACGUAGGGUGCGAGCGUUAAUCGGAAUUACUGGGCGUAAAGCGUGCGCAGGCGGUUGUGUAAGACAGGUGUGAAAUCCCCGGGCUUAACCUGGGAACUGCGCUUGUGACUGCACAGCUAGAGUAUGGCAGAGGGGGGUGGAAUUCCACGUGUAGCAGUGAAACGCGUAGAGAUGUGGAGGAACACCGAUGGCGAAGGCAGCCCCCUGGGCCAAUACUGACGCUCAUGCACGAAAGCGUGGGGAGCAAACAGGAUUAGAUACCCCAGUAGUCCCUGUCUCUUAUAC
Molecule: ribosomal RNA, 301 nt
Filed under: uncultured bacterium
Lineage: Bacteria
Description: partial 16S ribosomal RNA
Rfam family: Bacterial small subunit ribosomal RNA
Source: RNAcentral